CCACCGGGCGUGGGAGGCGUUGGGGCCUGCAAGCUGGGUCCGGGCAAGGGCUCUCGCAAGAAGAGGUAAGGCCCGUGGCGGUGUCCUGCCCUCUGCAGCGCGGGCGGCGGAGGAUCUCAGGGCCUGUCCCCACGUGGCCUCCCCAGGAGCCUGCCCCGCGAGGAGAGCGCCGGAGCUGCGCCGGGCGAGGGCCCUGAGGGCGUGGACGGGCGCGUGCGGGAGCUGAAGGACAGGCUGGAACUAGAGCUGCUGCGGCAGGGCGAGGAGCAGUACGAGUGCGUUCUGAAGCGCAAAGAGCAGCACGCGGCCGAGCAAAUCUCCAAAAUGAUGGAGCUGGCCAGAGAGAAACAGGCGGCAGAGCUGAAGGCCCUGAAGGAGACGUCGGAGAACGACACCAAAGAGAUGAAGAAAAAGCUGGAGACGAAGAGACUGGAGCGGAUCCAGGGCAUGACCAAAGUCACCGCAGACAAGAUGGCCCAGGAGAGGUUGAAGAGAGAGAUUAACAACUCCCACAUCCAGGAAGUAGUGCAGGUGAUCAAGCAGAUGACGGAGAACUUGGAGGGGCACCAGGAGAAGCUGGAGGAGAAGCAGGCGGCUUGCCUGGAACAGAUACGGGAGAUGGAAAAGCAGUUCCAGAAGGAGGCGCUGGCAGAGUACGAGGCCAGGAUGAAGGGUCUAGAGGCAGAGGUGAAGGAGUCGGUGAGGGCCUGCCUCAGGACCUGCUUUCCCUCUGAGGCCAAGGACAAGCCCGAAAGGGCCUGCGAGUGCCCCCCAGAGCUGUGUGAGCAGGACCCACUCGUAGCAAAGGCAGAUGCCCAGGAGAGCCGCCUCUGAUGCCCCCAUCCCACUGGGACAUUUAGCAAGGAGGUUCAGCCCCUUCUCUGGGAUGUGGGUCUAUUCCCCCAGGAAAAAGGAGCCCCAGCCUUCUGAGGCUGUGGGAACCUGUGGCUGCCUUGGAUGCUGCAGCCCCCUCCUCAACGGCCAGGCCAGAGUCUGAGACAGGACCCAGGCACCCUCACGGCAGGGCCUCUCUGGGGCCUAGAAGUCUUCUCAAGCUGACUUCCUACCUCCCCGCCCCCAUCUCUAGAUAAGUGUCAUAUAUUUGUUGAGGGCAAAAGACUAUGGACUGGGAGGAAGAAAGUGGGAUCCUGGCCCCACUCUGCCUUUCCUAUUGAGCAACCAGCUCUGGGCUCAGUUUCCUCACCUGGAGGGUUGGACCCACCCACCUCCACUCUAGCCCUGAACCGUCCUGCCCCAGGCUUCCAGGCCCCAUCAGGCCUGCCCUGAGUUGGCCUUGUCCACUGCUUGAGGCAGAGCCUGGCACUACCUCACAGCUCCCUGGGGACGGCCACUCCCUGGCUGAGGGCUCUCCCCCUCCCCUCUGCCUGUCGGGAACAAGAACGGGAGUCUGAAAUGGAAAAGCUGUCUUGGCCCUGCUUGGCUGAGUCACAAGGGGCAGUGGCCUCUUGGGUGCUGUUCCACCCUGAACCUGGCUCACCCCUCUUCCUAGGCCUGGGGGCAGGCAGUUCCCAGCAUGUACCCCUCUCAGGCUGCCUGCCUGACAAGGUCAGCAUCAUUUGCUCUCCUGAAUUUAUGAGGUUUAUUUAUUUUUCUCUUUCCUACUCCUAUUAAAGAACCUUGUCCCAGUGU
RNAcentral lists this small RNA (1650 nucleotides) under Pongo abelii (Sumatran orangutan). Its description in RNAcentral is "retained intron". Lineage: Eukaryota; Metazoa; Chordata; Mammalia; Primates; Hominidae. The record is from RNAcentral.